Molecule: ribosomal RNA, 869 nt
Filed under: uncultured Ruminococcus sp.
Lineage: Bacteria; Bacillati; Bacillota; Clostridia; Eubacteriales; Oscillospiraceae
Description: partial 16S ribosomal RNA
Rfam family: Bacterial small subunit ribosomal RNA (bases 1-513)
Source: RNAcentral
GACGAACGCUGGCGGCGUGCUUAACACAUGCAAGUCGAACGCUGAAGACCUGGCUUUUGUUGGGUUGGAUGAGUGGCGAACGGGUGAGUAACACGUGAGUAACCUGCCCCCUUCUUUGGGAUAACGCCCGGAAACGGGUGCUAAUACUGGAUAUUCACUGGCCUUCGCAUGGGGGUUGGUGGAAAGGUUUUUUCUGGUGGGGGAUGGGCUCGCGGCCUAUCAGCUUGUUGGUGGGGUGAUGGCCUACCAAGGCUUUGACGGGUAGCCGGCCUGAGAGGGUGACCGGUCACAUUGUGACUGACAUACCGCCCAGACUCCUACGGGAGGCAGCAUGGGGGAAUAUUGCAGAAUGGGCCAAAGCCUGAUCCUCCGACCCCCCAUGAGGGAUGGAGCCCUUCGGGUUCGACACUUGUGUCGCUCACGGUCUGCCGCAUCAUGGAUUGUGGUGGGGGGAAUGGGUAACCAAAUGUGACCGGUCAACCUCUCAGGCAAGCUACACGUAAGGGCGGUGCCACCCAUCAACCAAUUAUGGGGGGGAAGGCCGUAAAGAAAACUACUCCCCCCCUCCCCCGAAAGACAAGGGAGAAAUGGAGCGAGCACUGUGUAGUCGUGAUGAAGAAGAGGGGGGAGAAAGGAUAGGAAUGUAUAUGUUAUUUUCUACUCCCAAAAACAAGAGGAUGACACGGGCGACGAUAAAUAGUGAAUAGCACACCGAGCGCGGCGGGCGCGGGGUCGCGCAGUGGAGAUAUUAUAAUAUGCUGUAGCCCGAGGGCAAUUUUAUGUAGGGGGCUGCCCCGCUGGGGCCCCCGACUCCGAAGGAGGGGGAGGCAAGAGAGCCCGAUGGGGGAGAAAAAGAAGAGAAAACGCCC